CCUACAAUUUCUAGUAGCCACAGCCUUUCCGUACGUCUAGCCAGCAAGUCCCUCACAUUUUUCUACGUAUACUGGUCGGCCUUAGCUCUCGUGUGGUGCAAGUGGUGCAACCCUUGCCAUCACUAGAUCGUAGCUAUGAAAUUAUUGUACGAAAGAACUAUUGCAGUAGCAUCGGUUGCAGAACGGAGUAAAGAAACAUAGGGCAUAGAAAUCCUCUUGGAGAAACAAUUGAUUGCUGAGAGCACAACAGAUGAGGAAGAAUUUGUUGAUAAAGUCCCAGUUGAAAGAGUUUGCUAGUUGGAGAUUGAAAGUCCAAGCUCAUCAAUGGCCAGGGUUAUUAGCAGCCACGGUCUGCUCUUCUUCGUACAACAAUGUGUUGAUCUAUUUCAGCAAGAAAGGAUGAGAAAAAUCAGUAUUUCCGACACUGUUGAUUUUAUUGUUUUGCGAUAGAGGGAGUGCUAAGAAACUUCAGCAGGAGGUUUUUUUUUUUU
Molecule: long non-coding RNA, 491 nt
Organism: Populus trichocarpa (black cottonwood)
Lineage: Eukaryota; Viridiplantae; Streptophyta; Magnoliopsida; Malpighiales; Salicaceae
Exons: 2
Source: RefSeq, a predicted model, not a curated record